GACGAACGCUGGCGGCGUGCUUAACACAUGCAAGUCGAACGGAAAGGCCCUGCUUUUGUGGGGUGCUCGAGUGGCGAACGGGUGAGUAACACGUGAGUAACCUGCCCUUGACUUUGGGAUAACUUCAGGAAACUGGGGCUAAUACCGGAUAGGAGCUCCUGCUGCAUGGUGGGGGUUGGAAAGUUUCGGCGGUUGGGGAUGGACUCGCGGCUUAUCAGCUUGUUGGUGGGGUAGUGGCUUACCAAGGCUUUGACGGGUAGCCGGCCUGAGCGGGUGACCGGCCACAUUGGGACUGAGAGACGGCCCAGACUCCUACGGGAGGCAGCAGUGGGGAAUAUUGCACAAUGGGCGGAAGCCUGAUGCAGAAACGCCGCGGGCGGGAUGACGGCCUUCGGGUUGUAAACCGCUUUCGCCUGUGACGAAGCGUGAGUGACGGUAAUGGGUAAAGAAGCACCGGCUAACUACGUG
RNAcentral lists this ribosomal RNA (468 nucleotides) under uncultured bacterium. RNAcentral's name for it is "partial 16S ribosomal RNA". It matches the Rfam family "Bacterial small subunit ribosomal RNA", at positions 28 to 507 of the family's 1533-position model. The record is from RNAcentral.